GCGAGCGCAGGCGGUUUUGUAAGUCUGCUGUGAAAGCCCUCAGCUCAACUGAGGAAGUGCAGUGGAAACUACAAAACUUGAGUACAGAAGAGGAAAGUGGAACUCCAUGUGUAGCGGUGAAAUGCGUAGAUAUAUGGAAGAACACCAGUGGCGAAGGCGGCUUUCUGGUCUGUUACUGACGCUGAGGCUCGAAAGCAUGGGUAGCGAACAGGAUUAGAUACCCUGGUAGUCCAUGCCGUAAACGAUGAAUACUAGGUGUUGGAGGGUUUCCGCCCUUCAGUGCCGCAGCUAACGCAUUAAGUAUUCCGCCUGGGGAGUACGACCGCAAGGUUGAAACUCAAAGGAAUUGACGGGGGCCCGCACAAGUGGUGGAGCAUGUGGUUUAAUUCGAUGCUACGCGAAGAACCUUACCAGCUCUUGACAUCUUCUGCCAACCCAAGAGAUUGGGCGUUCCCUUCGGGGACAGAAUGACAGGUGGUGCAUGGUUGUCGUCAGCUCGUGUCGUGAGAUGUUGGGUUAAGUCCCGCAACGAGCGCAACCCUUAUUAUUAGUUGCCAGCAUUUAGUUGGGCACUCUAGUGAGACUGCCGGUGAUAAACCGGAGGAAGGUGGGGACGACCUCAAAUCAUCAUGCCCCUUAUGAGCUGGGCUACACACGUGCUACAAUGGAUGGUACAACGAGUCACGAAACCGCGAGGUCAAGCUAAUCUCUUAAAGCCAUUCUCAGUUCGGAUUGCAGGCUGCAACUCGCCUGCAUGAAGUUGGAAUCACUAGUAAUCGUGGAUCAGCAUGCCACGGUGAAUACGUUCCCUGGCCUUGUACACACCGCCCUGUCACACCAUGAGAGUUUGUAACACCC
This 858-nucleotide ribosomal RNA is filed under the name Apilactobacillus kunkeei. RNAcentral's name for it is "bacterial SSU rRNA". It matches the Rfam family "Bacterial small subunit ribosomal RNA", at positions 565 to 1422 of the family's 1533-position model. Lineage: Bacteria; Bacillati; Bacillota; Bacilli; Lactobacillales; Lactobacillaceae. The record is from RNAcentral.